RNAcentral lists this small RNA (491 nucleotides) under Pongo abelii (Sumatran orangutan). RNAcentral's name for it is "retained intron". The record is from RNAcentral. Lineage: Eukaryota; Metazoa; Chordata; Mammalia; Primates; Hominidae.
GAAUUAGCCUUUGCUGCAUGAAAUGAAUCCAUCCUAACUUAAAUGAUUAUUCAAAUAAGCACUUUUGGGAUUUUUUGCAGAAGUGCAAUCGGAUGUCCUGGGCUGUUUCAUACUCCACCCUACAUCUCUUAUGGCCAGAGGGGUCUGUUUUUAUUAAUCUGGCCUGUAAUUCCAUGUUUUGUGUUCAAUGAAAUCCAUAUACCUAAUUCUUUGACUUUUCAUAGGAUGGAAAAACACUGAAUGAUGAAUUAGAAAUUAUCGAAGGCAUGAAGUUUGAUCGAGGCUAUAUUUCUCCAUACUUUAUUAAUACAUCAAAAGGUCAGAAAUGUGAAUUCCAGGAUGCCUAUGUUCUGUUGAGUGAAAAGAAAAUCUCUAGUGUCCAGUCCAUUGUACCUGCUCUUGAAAUUGCCAAUGCUCACCGUAAGCCUUUGGUCAUAAUCGCUGAAGAUGUUGAUGGAGAAGCUCUAAGUACACUCGUCUUGAAUAGGUAA